RNA transcript from Zalophus californianus (California sea lion), 2715 nucleotides. It is a transcript of the gene named COBW domain containing 1, with no coding region annotated. The transcript is spliced from 15 exons. NCBI's taxonomy places the organism in Eukaryota, Metazoa, Chordata, Mammalia, Carnivora, Otariidae. The record is from RefSeq and is a predicted model, not a curated record.
GCGCCCGGCGUGGCGCUUUCGGCGUGCGCAGCUGCGUUUCGGCGUUUUGGUUCCGUCUUCUGAGCCGAGGGUGAGGCGUGCUGUGCGCUUGGCCGGGAUGUUACCGGCUAUGGGUGCUGUGGAUGAGGAAGAGGAGCAGGCGGAGGAGGACUGUCCUGAAUUGGUCCCCAUUGAGACGAAGCUAAGAGAGGAGGAGGAAAAGUCUGGGCCCGGCGCCAAGAUCCCAGUCACAAUUAUCACCGGGUAUUUAGGUGCUGGGAAGACAACACUUCUGAACUAUAUUUUGACAGAGCAACAUAGUAAAAGAGUAGCAGUUAUUUUAAACGAAUUUGGGGAAGGAAGUGCAGUGGAGAAAUCCUUAGCUGUCAGCCAAGGUGGAGAGCUCUAUGAAGAAUGGCUGGAACUUAGAAACGGUUGCCUCUGCUGUUCAGUAAAGGACAAUGGCCUUAGAGCUAUUGAGAAUUUGAUGCAGAAGAAGGGGAAAUUUGAUUACAUACUAUUAGAGACCACUGGGUUAGCAGAUCCGGGUGCUGUAGCUUCUAUGUUUUGGGUUGAUGCUGAAUUAGGGGUUGAUAUUUAUCUUGAUGGUAUCAUAACUGUUGUGGAUUCAAAAUAUGGACUAAAACAUUUAGAAGAAGAAAAACCGGAUGGCCUUAUCAAUGAAGCUUCUAGGCAAGUUGCUUUGGCAGAUAUCAUCAUCAUUAAUAAAACAGACUUGGUUUCAGAAGAGGAUUUAAGCAAAUUAAGAACAGCCAUUAGAUCCAUAAAUGGACUGGGAAAAAUUUUAGAAACACAAAGAUCAAGAGUUCAUCUCGCUAAUGUAUUAGAUCUUCAUGCCUUUGACAGUCUUUCUGGAAUAAGUUUGCAGAAAAAACUUCAGCAUGUGCCAACAACACAGCCUCACCUUGAUCAGAGCAUUAUUACGGUGACAUUUGAAGUACAAGGAAAUGCAAAGGAAGAAAGUCUGAAUGUAUUUAUUCAGAAUCUUCUGUGGGAGCGGAACGUGCGAAACAAGGAUGACAACUACAUGGAGGUCAUACGGCUAAAGCUGAUUGAACCCUCUCAUCUGAGCAGGGGCUGGUGUCAAUCAAAGACAAACCAAAACAGGUGAUUGUCCAGGGUGUCCACGAGCUCUAUGAUCUGGAGGAGACUCCACUGAGCUGGAACAAUGACACCGAGAGAACAAAUCGAUUGGUUCUUAUUGGCAGGAAUUUAGAUAAGGAGAUCCUCAGACAACUAUUUAUAGCUACUGUGAUGGAAACAGAAAAGCGGUGGACAACACAUUUCAAAGAAGAUCAAGUUUGUCCAUAACACUAGAAGCAUUUCUUAUCAGAGGGACUGGGUGAUAAAUCGGGGUUAAGUGUCCUACUGGGUGUAUUUCAAGUGUCUAUUUUUUGCAUUACUUCUGUUGUGAAUUCUGGCGUACUUUAAAAUAGUGUUUAUUUUAUGGAACACAUAAAAUGUAGUAAAUAAGUGCUUAAAACAUUUGACAUUCAUACAAUAAAACAUAAUGUCCUCUAAAGUGUUUUUUGCUUUUUUGAGAGCGAGUGCAUGGGAGGUGUGCACGUGGAGGAGGGGCAGAGGGAGGAGAGAGAGAAUCCUAAGCAGGCUCCACGCUUGCCCAACCAGGGGCUCAGUCCCAGGACCCUGAGCUCAUGACCUGAGCCGAAAUCAAGAGUUGGACACUCAACCGGCUGAGCCACGCAGGUGUCCAGUUUUUUGUUUGUUUUUUUUUUAAUAGAUGUUUCACAAAAGUAUCUGUCAGAACUGGGUUUGAAAUGUACAUAUGCUGAACUUUUUAUCCAUGGAAGUUAUUUAUAAUCAUAAUGAUAAAACUUACUUUUACGUUCUUUUUUUCCCUUAGAACUACACUGAUUGCAUAGAUAUAAUUUUAUUGUUAUUAACAAAAAUUAUUUAAAAACAGUAUCACCUGGCGGGGAGCCUGCUUCUCCUUUUCCAGCUCCCCUGUAUUUGUGUUCCCUCUCUCACUAUCUCUCUCUGUCGAAUAAACAAAUAAAAGUAAAAACAGUAUCACCAUUUUUAUUAAAUGAAAUAAAAGUCUUGAUGUGGCUAGAGACUUAUGAGUGGAGGAAAUCUGAGUAAAAAAUUAAAGCCAUCUCCUAGUCAAUUCUAAGCUUUCCUGUAGAGUAAUGGAACUUCCAUUUACUUCAUAAUAUAUUUAGAUGAUUCCAGUUUUAGAGCUUUUAAUUUUAAGUAGAAUUUACUACUGGUAUUAAAUUCAUCAUGAUUUCUUUGAACUUCUUUAAUUUUCAAUAUAAGCAAAAAAGCAACAAGGUGCAAAACUUCAGACAUAAUUGCAGAUAACUUAGGAUAAUUUAACCAUCUUUAUAUCAGUGGUUGGUGUGUAAAUGUACAGUGGCUUACUUAUCUCCUAUUCUUACUAAAGGCCAGGUCAGCAUAACUGUAUUCAGAUUGUAAGAGAAAAGCAUUAGAUGGGAUUUAAAGAAGAGCUUUCCCAAACUAAUGAUUAUUAAAUAUCAGAAAGCUAUCACAAUGCCCUUUGGAAUUUUUUUUUUCCAGAAUUUUAAGUAAAAGAGUUAUCUCUGUGUAUCUUGAAUGGCUCCAGUGUUUGGAGGAAGGCCAAUUGAUUAGAUUAUCUGUCUCUUGGGGCGCCUGGGUGGCUCAGUUAAGUGUCUGCCUUGGAUUCAGGUCAUGAUCCCAGAGUCCUGGGAUUGAGCCCCAGGUCAGGUCCCU